RNAcentral lists this ribosomal RNA (301 nucleotides) under uncultured bacterium. Its description in RNAcentral is "partial 16S ribosomal RNA". It matches the Rfam family "Bacterial small subunit ribosomal RNA", at positions 509 to 809 of the family's 1533-position model. The record is from RNAcentral.
CAGCCGCCGCGGUAAUACGUAGGUGGCAAGCGUUGUCCGGAAUUAUUGGGCGUAAAGGGCUCGCAGGCGGUUUCUUAAGUCUGAUGUGAAAGCCCCCGGCUCAACCGGGGAGGGUCAUUGGAAACUGGGAAACUUGAGUGCAGAAGAGGAGAGUGGAAUUCCACGUGUAGCGGUGAAAUGCGUAGAGAUGUGGAGGAAUACCAGUGGCGAAGGCGACUCUCUGGUCUGUAACUGACGCUGAGGAGCGAAAGCGUGGGGAGCGAACAGGAUUAGAUACCCCCGUAGUCCCUGUCUCUUAUAA